AGUGAACGCUGGCGGUAGGCCUAACACAUGCAAGUCGAACGGCAGCACAGUAAGAGCUUGCUCUUACGGGUGGCGAGUGGCGGACGGGUGAGGAAUACAUCGGAAUCUACUUUUUCGUGGGGGAUAACGUGGGAAACUUACGCUAAUACCGCAUACGACCUACGGGUGGAAGCAGGGGAUCUUCGGACCUUGCGCGAUUGAAUGAGCCGAUGUCGGAUUAGCUAGUUGGCGGGGUAAAGGCCCACCAAGGCGACGAUCCGUAGCUGGUCUGAGAGGAUGAUCAGCCACACUGGAACUGAGACACGGUCCAGACUCCUACGGGAGGCAGCAGUGGGGAAUAUUGGACAAUGGGCGCAAGCCUGAUCCAGCCAUACCGCGUGGGUGAAGAAGGCCUUCGGGUUGUAAAGCCCUUUUGUUGGGAAAGAAAAGCAGCAGGUUAAUACCCCGCUGUUCUGGCGGUACCCAAAGAAUAAGCACCGGCUAACUUCGUG
Molecule: ribosomal RNA, 491 nt
Filed under: uncultured bacterium
Lineage: Bacteria
Description: partial 16S ribosomal RNA
Rfam family: Bacterial small subunit ribosomal RNA
Source: RNAcentral